RNAcentral lists this transfer RNA (63 nucleotides) under Pharyngocirrus uchidai. RNAcentral describes it as "tRNA-Lys". The record is from RNAcentral. Lineage: Eukaryota; Metazoa; Annelida; Polychaeta; Saccocirridae.
CACCAAAGAGCUGGAUAGCGUUGGACUUUUAAUCCUAUGAAAAUAAUUUAUUAUUUUUGGUGA